Molecule: ribosomal RNA, 465 nt
Filed under: uncultured bacterium
Lineage: Bacteria
Description: partial 16S ribosomal RNA
Rfam family: Bacterial small subunit ribosomal RNA
Source: RNAcentral
GACGAACGCUGGCGGCGUGCUUAACACAUGCAAGUCGAACGGAAAGGCCCUGCUUGCCGGGUACACGAGUGGCGAACGGGUGAGUAACACGUGGGUGAUCUGCCCUGCACUUUGGGAUAAGCCUGGGAAACUGGGUCUAAUACCGGAUAGGUGCCAUUUUUAGUGUGAUGGUUGGAAAGUUUUUUCCGUGUAGGAUGAGGUCGCGGCCUCUCAGCUUGUUGGUGGGGUAAUGGCCUACCAAGGCGGCGACGGGUAGCCGGCCUGGGAGGGUGGACGGCCACAUUGGGGCUGGGGAACGGCCCAGACCCCUACGGGGAGCAACAGUGGGGAAUAUUGCACAAUGGGCGCGAGCCUGAUGCAGCGACGCCGCGUGGGGGAUGACGGCCUUCGGGUUGUAAACUCCUUUCGCUAGGGACGAAGCUGUUUGUGACGGUACCUAGAGAAGAAGCACCGGCUAACUACGUG